GACGAACGCUGGCGGCGUGCUUAACACAUGCAAGUCGAACGGAAAGGCCCUGCUUUUGCGGGGUGCUCGAGUGGCGAACGGGUGAGUAACACGUGAGUAACCUGCCCUUGACUUUGGGAUAACUUCAGGAAACUGGGGCUAAUACCGGAUAGGAGCUCCUGCUGCAUGGUGGGGGUUGGAAAGUUUCGGCGGUUGGGGAUGGACUCGCGGCUUAUCAGCUUGUUGGUGGGGUAGUGGCUUACCAAGGCUUUGACGGGUAGCCGGCCUGAGAGGGUGACCGGCCACAUUGGGACUGAGAUACGGCCCAGACUCCUACGGGACGCAGCAGUGGGGAAUAUUGCACAAUGGGCGGAAGCCUGAUGCAGCAGCGCCGCGUGCGGGAUGACGGCCUUCGGGUUGUAAACCGCUUUCGCCUGUGACGAAGCGUGAGUGACGGUAAUGGGUAAAGAAGCACCGGCUAACUACGUG
This 468-nucleotide ribosomal RNA is filed under the name uncultured bacterium. RNAcentral describes it as "partial 16S ribosomal RNA". It matches the Rfam family "Bacterial small subunit ribosomal RNA", at positions 28 to 507 of the family's 1533-position model. The record is from RNAcentral.